UGGGGAAUAUUGGACAAUGGACCGAGAGUCUGAUCCAGCAAUUCUGUGUGCACGAUGAAGUUUUUCGGAAUGUAAAGUGCUUUCAGUUGGGAAGAAAGAAAUGACGGUACCAACAGAAGAAGUGACGGCUAAAUACGUGCCAGCAGCCGCGGUAAUACGUAUGUCACGAGCGUUAUCCGGAUUUAUUGGGCGUAAAGCGCGUCUAGGUGGUUAUAUAAGUCUGAUGUGAAGAUGCAGGGCUCAACUCUGUAUUGCGUUGGAAACUGUAUAACUAGAGUACUGGAGAGGUAAGCGGAACUACAAGUGUAGAGGUGAAAUUCGUAGAUAUUUGUAGGAAUGCCGAUGGGGAAGCCAGCUUACUGGACAGAUACUGACGCUGAAGCGCGAAAGCGUGGGUAGCAAACAGGAUUAGAUACCCUGGUAGUCCACGCUGUAAACGAUGAUUACUAGGUGUUGGGGGUCGAACCUCAGCGCCCAAGCAAACGCGAUAAGUAAUCCGCCUGGGGAGUACGUACGCAAGUAUG
RNAcentral lists this ribosomal RNA (524 nucleotides) under uncultured bacterium. RNAcentral describes it as "bacterial SSU rRNA". It matches the Rfam family "Bacterial small subunit ribosomal RNA", at positions 355 to 896 of the family's 1533-position model. The record is from RNAcentral.